UUUAACCACUAGGGGUGCAAUUUUUUGCUGAGAGAGGUUUUGAUGCCUUAACCCUUAUACCUGAUCUAGAUAAUACUAGCGGAGGGAAGUGGGUCAACUAUUCA
Molecule: non-coding RNA, 104 nt
Filed under: Bacillus sp. (in: firmicutes)
Lineage: Bacteria; Bacillati; Bacillota; Bacilli; Caryophanales; Bacillaceae
Also listed under: 1 other name
Description: Bacillus sp. TPP sequence
Rfam family: TPP riboswitch aptamer (THI element)
About the family: Vitamin B(1) in its active form thiamin pyrophosphate (TPP) is an essential coenzyme that is synthesised by coupling of pyrimidine and thiazole moieties in bacteria. The previously detected thiamin-regulatory element, thi box was extended, resulting in a new, highly conserved RNA secondary structure, the THI element, which is widely distributed in eubacteria and also occurs in some archaea.
Source: RNAcentral